Molecule: transfer-messenger RNA, 311 nt
Filed under: Patescibacteria group
Lineage: Bacteria
Also listed under: 2 other names
Description: GCA-002773005 sp002771215 Standard tmRNA
Rfam family: transfer-messenger RNA
About the family: Bacterial tmRNA, also known as 10Sa RNA or SsrA, is named for its dual tRNA and mRNA-like properties.
Source: RNAcentral
GGGGCCAAAUUGGCUUCGACAGAGUACAUUAAGUAAAUGGUUCAAGUGGUCUAAGUCACGUAAUGACCCUAAACUUUCGCGACAAAUCCAAACGCAAACAAACAGUUUGCACCUGCCCUAGCUUAAUUUUAAGUUAAGGCAGCGCUUGCUCUGCCUGCGCCCGUAAGGCGGAAGCAAGUGUCAUAAAUUCGGGCUUGCCCGACCCAGAUUGUCUUGUUAAGUCGGGGACAAAACGAAGGCAAAACUUUAAACUUGUCAACUCCAUUUACUGGUAUAUCUGGACAGGGGUUCGAUUCCCCUUGGCUCCACCA